AGGACGAACGCUGGCGGCGUGCUUAACACAUGCAAGUCGAGCGGAAAGGCCCUUCGGGGUACUCGAGCGGCGAACGGGUGAGUAACACGUGAGUAAUCUGCCCCUAGCUCUGGGAUAGCUCCGGGAAAACCGGGAUUAAUACCAGAUACGACCACUUUAGACAUCUGCUGUGGUGGAAAGAAUUUCGGCUAGGGAUGAGCUCGCGGCCUAUCAGCUUGUUGGUGAGGUAACGGCUCACCAAGGCGACGACGGGUAGCCGGCCUGAGAGGGCGACCGGCCACACUGGGACUGAGACACGGCCCAGACUCCUACGGGAGGCAGCAGUGGGGAAUAUUGCGCAAUGGGCGAAAGCCUGACGCAGCGACGCCGCGUGGGGGAUGAAGGCCUUCGGGUUGUAAACCCCUUUCAGCAGGGACGAAGCGAAGUGACGGUACCUGCAGAAGAGCGCCGGCUAACUACGUGCCAGCAGCCGCGGUAA
RNAcentral lists this ribosomal RNA (478 nucleotides) under uncultured bacterium. Its description in RNAcentral is "SSU rRNA". It matches the Rfam family "Bacterial small subunit ribosomal RNA", at positions 26 to 523 of the family's 1533-position model. The record is from RNAcentral.